This is a long non-coding RNA of Stegodyphus dumicola, 573 nucleotides long. Lineage: Eukaryota; Metazoa; Arthropoda; Arachnida; Araneae; Eresidae. The record is from RefSeq and is a predicted model, not a curated record.
UAUUUUGGCAUUAAUUUACAUGUUAAAACUUAAAUAAUUUCUAAUUACUGCUUCCUUUUUAGUGUACCUGCCCGGCGGUUGCAUUUUGAGUGAAUCUCAAUACAAGCAUAUGCAAGAGUUCAUAGCUCGGCCUUACGUCGUCAACUGUUCUUGCGUAGCUGGUUCUGUAGAAUGCCAAAUUUCUUCUUAAAGACCAAUAGCAGAAUGGUUUCCGAGAGAACAUUUUUUAUCUGUGAUAUUUCAAGUGGGAAUUCCUAAACGAAGGAGGGUCUACUGUACAUAAUUACUGUAAUAUUUAAUGAAGUUUUACUUUUAAUGCUGUUACGCGUUAUUAACAUUGCAGUAUUAUUAUAUGUUUGAAAUAAUAUUUGUAUUCUGAAAGAAUUUUUAAAACAUCUUAUAAUAUGUGUGUUAAAAACGCAUCUAUUUAAAUUCAUUGCAUGUGAUGUUUUGUUUAAGCUACUGCGAUGCGAAACUGUAAUAUGUUACUCUUUGCAUGAAAUAAAACGUGAUUGUAAGCCAUUAAAGAUUUAAAAUUUAUAAAUAUGCAAAUAAAGCCUGUGUAGUAUUUCA